This 419-nucleotide ribosomal RNA is filed under the name uncultured bacterium. RNAcentral describes it as "bacterial SSU rRNA". It matches the Rfam family "Bacterial small subunit ribosomal RNA", at positions 9 to 420 of the family's 1533-position model. The record is from RNAcentral.
GAGUUUGAUCUUGGCUCAGGACGAACGCUGGCGGCGUGCCUAACACAUGCAAGUGGAGCGACGAACCAGGGCUUGCCCUGGUGCAAAGCCGCGAACGGGGUGAGUAACACGUGGGUAACCUGCCCCGAUGACCGGGACAACCCGAGGAAACUCGGGCUAAUACCGGAUGUGAUGUCCACACAUGAGUGUGUCCAUUAAAGGAAGCUUCGGCCUCCACAUUGGGAUGGGCCCGCGGCCCAUUAGCUUGUUGGUAGGGUAAUGGCCUACCAAGGCUUCGAUGGGUAGCUGGUCUGAGAGGACGAUCAGCCACACUGGGACUGAGACACGGCCCAGACUCCUACGGGAGGCAGCAGUGGGGAAUCUUGCGCAAUGCGCGAAAGCGUGACGCAGCAACGCCGCGUGAGGGAAGACGGCCUCGG